Long non-coding RNA from Acipenser ruthenus (sterlet), 1350 nucleotides. RefSeq lists it as uncharacterized. NCBI's taxonomy places the organism in Eukaryota, Metazoa, Chordata, Actinopteri, Acipenseriformes, Acipenseridae. The record is from RefSeq and is a predicted model, not a curated record. The transcript is spliced from 2 exons.
CAGGUUUCCCCUCUGAACCAAUUAGCCAACAGGUAGUGGAAUUUGGGGGUGGGACUUAGCCUUUUGAUUGGGUUUGUGCGAGAGAGAGAAAGAAGGUUCGAGAGAGUGUGAAGGAACAGACGCAACGUGAGGGAGUGAAAGAAAAGUUUUAUAGUAAAAUAAAUAUUAUCUAAACGAUAUAUUUUGUACUUUAUUAGCAGAGUAUAAGAGGCUAAUAUAUUUCAGUAAACCAAACGUUUGCUGUAGACAGUCACCAUUUUAUGGUAUAGUCUUUUUGGUUUAUUAUUAAUUUACUUUUCUGCUGGCGUCUGGAACUGCUGCUGAGACCCAGAUAGCACUCGGGGUGACCAGGAGAAAGCCCCGAGUACCUCUGGCCACGUUAGAAAAUAAGAUUUUUCAGCUGUCGUUGUGUUUAUUGUGUCCUUCUACGAACUUACCUUGGAAGCAAGAAACGGAACUGUGUUGCUGGUCGUGAGUACUGCUUGCAUUCAAAAAACAGUUUUUUGAAAGUAUAAUUUUGUUGCUUAUUUGACAUAAAUAAGUGAAGGGGCAUUUUGUUUUUUUUAUUAUUGCCACUACGUACCCGAGCGACGGUUCAGGCCUGCAACGUGUUAUUUCUUUUAUACUGCUGCACGUGUGCAGUACACUUAUAUAACAGUAUUGAAAGGAGGAGUGUUGCCUGAGGUGAAACGGUGUACCCAAUGCUGCAGAUUGUACCACUGUCCAUUUUGCAAGCCAAGCAAAUAUAAACCCAAUAAACGCCACCAUUUAAAAAAGCACUUGGAUGUCCAUCUGAAGGGUGCAGUGCAGUGUGAUGGUUUGUUAUUUAAUGGUUUGUACAUGUAACAUUGUUGAAGGUUGAUUUAAUAUAUUUAGUGAACAAUAUGCAUUUCAAGUAAAAUAUUGUGCAUAGUCAUUAAUACUUAUUGUUUACAUUUGUUUAUUAAUGUAUAUAGAGAAUGCUCAGGAAUACUCACUUGCAAAUACAGUAGGCUCCAUAAUUAUUCAUACCCUUUAUUCAGUGUAAAUGAAAUGGGGAAAUUAAAUUAAAACUUGACCCACCAGCUAAUCGCAAAGUCAGAAUUUAAUGGUGGGUGUAUUUAUUAGUAGAAGAAAGUGUCCACUUAUGAUAAAUCAAACUGCCAUUAAACUACAUAUUUCUAAUUUGGUUUUAGUCAAUGGGUCUAAAUGUUGAUUUAAUCCCCCCAAAGUUGGUUUGAAAAUAAACAAAAAGCAAGUGUACAGUCAUUAUUUCUUGCUGUAUCAUAAAAACAUAUCUGUCAAAUAACUGCAUUUUAAUUUAAUAUCCAAACUGCAUUAUGUAUUUGUAAUAAAGUUAUUUGUUUGCAA